RNAcentral lists this ribosomal RNA (497 nucleotides) under uncultured bacterium. Its description in RNAcentral is "partial 16S ribosomal RNA". It matches the Rfam family "Bacterial small subunit ribosomal RNA", at positions 28 to 507 of the family's 1533-position model. The record is from RNAcentral.
GAUGAACGCUGGCGGCGUGCCUAAUACAUGCAAGUCGAGCGAACGGACGAGAAGCUUGCCUCUCUGAUGUUAGCGGCGGACGGGUGAGUAACACGUGGAUAACCUACCUAUAAGACUGGGAUAACUUCGGGAAACCGGAGCUAAUACCGGAUAAUAUUUUGAACCGCAUGGUUCAAAAGUGAAAGACGGUCUUGCUGUCACUUAUAGAUGGAUCCGCGCUGCAUUAGCUAGUUGGUAAGGUAACGGCUUACCAAGGCAACGAUGCAUAGCCGACCUGAGAGGGUGAUCGGCCACACGGGAACUGAGACACGGUCCAGACUCCUACGGGAGGCAGCAGUAGGGAAUCUUCCGCAAUGGGCGAAAGCCUGACGGAGCAACGCCGCGUGAGUGAUGAAGGUCUUCGGAUCGUAAAACUCUGUUAUUAGGGAAGAACAGAUGUGUAAGUAACUGUGCACAUCUUGACGGUACCUAAUCAGAAAGCCACGGCUAACUACGUG